UGGGGAAUAUUGGACAAUGGGCGCAAGCCUGAUCCAGCCAUGCCGCGUGAGUGAUGAAGGCCUUAGGGUUGUAAAGCUCUUUUGUCCGGGACGAUAAUGACGGUACCGGAAGAAUAAGCCCCGGCUAACUUCGUGCCAGCAGCCGCGGUAAUACGAAGGGGGCUAGCGUUGCUCGGAAUCACUGGGCGUAAAGGGCGCGUAGGCGGCCAUUCGAAGUCGGGGGACUGGAAAGCCUGAUCGGCUCAACCAACAUGAACUUUGCCUUCGAUACUGUUUGGCUUGAGUAUGGUAGAGGUUGGUGGAACUGCGAGUGUAGAGGUGAAAUUCGUAGAUAUUCGCAAGAACACCGGUGGCGAAGGCGGCCAACUGGACCAUUACUGACGCUGAGGCGCGAAAGCGUGGGGAGCAAACA
Molecule: ribosomal RNA, 412 nt
Filed under: uncultured Methylobacterium sp.
Lineage: Bacteria; Pseudomonadati; Pseudomonadota; Alphaproteobacteria; Hyphomicrobiales; Methylobacteriaceae
Description: bacterial SSU rRNA
Rfam family: Bacterial small subunit ribosomal RNA
Source: RNAcentral